RNAcentral lists this ribosomal RNA (458 nucleotides) under uncultured bacterium. RNAcentral's name for it is "partial 16S ribosomal RNA". It matches the Rfam family "Bacterial small subunit ribosomal RNA", at positions 338 to 795 of the family's 1533-position model. The record is from RNAcentral.
CCUACGGGAGGCUGCAGUGAGGAAUAUUGGUCAAUGGGCGAGAGCCUGAACCAGCCAAGUCGCGUGAGGGAGUACUGCCCUAUGGGUUGUAAACCUCUUUUGUCGGGGAGCAAAAGCCGGACGUGUCCGGCUGUGAGAGUACCCGAAGAAAAAGCAUCGGCUAACUCCGUGCCAGCAGCCGCGGUAAUACGGAGGAUGCGAGGGUUAUCCGGAUUUAUUGGGUUUAAAGGGGGCGCAGGCGGAUUUUUAAGUCAGCGGUAAAAUCGUGGGGCUCAACCCCAUCCAGCCGUUGAAACUGGGGAUCUAGAGUGUGCGAGAGGUAUGCGGAAUGCGUGGUGUAGCGGUGAAAUGCAUAGAUAUCACGCAGAACCCCGAUUGCGAAGGCAGCAUACCGGUGCACAACUGACGCUCAGGCACGAAAGCGUGGGUAUCGAACAGGAUUAGAUACCCUGGUAGUC